CCGCUUCGCUCCACCGAUCCAAACCCACUUCGCAAAACCUGUGCACGAAGGAGCCCCCAAACCCAACCAACUAGAACGAGUGAUAUCCAUGGAGAAGAAGGAUCUGCUCGGCGUCCGGACGAAGCCGGCGGCAGGGAAGCGGCGGCGCAAGGUGGCAGCUGGCCCGGGACUCGCCAAGGCGAUCGCGGAGUACCUCGCGUCCGACUCCUAUAUGUACGCGCCGCUGGUCUCAGAACCACAGGAGCAGGCGCCGCCGCAGCCCGCGGCAGCGCCUGCGACAAGUACACCUGGUUAGUCACCGAUUCCUCAUUCCUAAUCCUUCUUGCGAGCGACGUAUAAUCAUGUGUGGUAGUUUAGGACCCUUUUCUGAAAAGGGUACAGCGCAUAAUUCCAGUGCUGACCUGGUGAAAUUUCAGUGUGUUGCAUACCUGCAUCCCACAGCGAACUGCUCGAGCAACUGAGCACUAGGUAGUGGCGUAGUGUUGUAUCUAUACAGUACAUGUUGGUGCCUAGUACAUGUAAUCCGCGGGGAGGACGAACCUUUUGAUGUGAGUAAUACUAAUUUUACAGUUCAGUUCUACUCUACUACUUGACCAAACCAGCAGACGGUAGAGAUAAAAACUGAGAGCUGGAAUUUACUAAUAAACUGAGUAAUACUAAUAAACUGAGAGCUGGAGUAGAAGAGAAGAUGUCAGAAUUAUUUACGUAGAUAGCUAACAGUAUAGCCCACGGGAAGAUAUCAGAGUUCUUUCUAAAAAAACAAGAUAUCAGAAUUAUGUUAAUCGUGCUGCUGGAAUUCAAUCUUCUGGUAAUCGAUAUAGUAGAAGGAUGGGGUUGCAUUCAGCUGUUUAUUAUACAGAGAUGGUUGAAGGAACAUAUAGUCUUACAAAGCAAAUUAAUCAAGUUAAGAGUUAUUACUAAUCUUCCAGAUUUCCUUCUUCCCAUUUAGUUACCGUCUUAAGAAAAAUAAAAUAUUGUUGUGUAUCACGAUUCUGUGGAAUCUCGAAGUCUCGAGUUUAGCAAGUCUUAAGGCAUUUUCCAUUGAGUCUGAACAUGUAGCUUGCUUUUCGAUUCUCUGCUUAUUAAUUUAUUUGGACCAAACUACUUAUUGGUUGGCUGCUUCAUUUCAAUCCAGUUUAGUCAAGUAAGAUGUCCACCUCAUGAUAUAUUGUCGUGCAGCUUCUGCAGAGAAAGGAGUAGCUCUGGUGCAAAAAUACAGAGGCUCUUGGCGUGGUACAUUUGCUGCCUGCUAGAAGCAUUUGUGGCGAUGUAGCUGUGUAGCCUUUUAGCAUAAGCUUAAAGCUUUCCCGAUGUUGUUUUAUUCUCCUUUGACUAUGCACAUAUGCUUUCUCUAACAAUUUACCUUUGUUCUGGAGCCAUGUCUCCGAGAAAGGCUAACAGUUAGUUAAUCCAGGGGCAUAUGUAACUAUCUGUACCUUAUCUUGUGUCUUCACUGAUGCAACCGGACUCCCGGUGUAUCUCGUAUGAUGUUCUCGUUUUGCUACUUUGCUGCCUUUUCUUUGGAUGUAGCUUACUAUUGUUUUGUUUGUCUAUCUCACCUGAAAAGUGAAUAAUCCUACUGCAUUCUCGACCGUAGUAUAUAUCCGUCUAACUCUAAGUUGGUGCCAGUCAGAAUGCGCAAAGCACUGAUCCGUGGGUAGGGUUUACUGGGUUGUUUGGUUUGUCAUAUGAGCAUCUAUAACCGUGUUUGGUUUGUCAUAUGAGUAUCUACAACCGGACCCACCACUUCCCUUCGGGGAAUCGGAAAUACUCACCCAAUGGGACCCACCAAACCCAUCCCAAAUGUUUGGGCUGUCCGACUCACUUCAUAUGCAACUCCACCAAACCCAUCCAAAUGUUUGGGCAGGCACCCUUCAUAUGCAACUCAUAUGUGGGACGGAUAUGAAGCAGGUUUUUUUUGAACGGGGGCGCAAAAUGCAAGCCCAUAGUUUGGAACGAUACAAAAAACCAAACACAAACGAUCCAAGUUAGGAACGAUACAGAAAAUCAAACACAAAAGGCCGAAGCCAAAAAUCUUAAAACAUGCAACUGGCCAAAAGGCCGAAGCCAAAAAUCUUAAAACAUGCAACUGGCCGUAGCCUGAUAAGAACCUAGCAGUAGCCUAAACCUACUGCCUAAACCGCGGGACGGAAGGAGUCCAAAACCAGCAAAACACCAUGGGGAUCAAUAACGAGCAGCGAUUUGAAUAGCGCAGAUCCUCUCCAUGGCCUCCUCCAUCCGCUCAGUGUUCCGUCGUUUUCCCAACAGCAUCCAAGUCUGAAGAAACAAAUGGCAUUUGAAAAUGAUGUCAGCAAGAUGCGAAGGAACCUUAUGCUCGAUAGUAAUUUUGUUACAGGUGGCCCAAAAGAGACCACAACAACACCCCUAUGCAACGCUAAAGAAUCCUAGCGAAUCCACCCCUAUGAACGCUGAGAAUGGCGCACAACUCCCCAGUGGAGUGAGGGUUCCAGUUUUGCCCAAAGGCUUUCCGGACCGCACUCCAAGCAAAACGGGCGAGGUAGCAAUUGAAGAAGAUGUUAGCAUCCUCAUGAGCCCCCCAGACUGUACAGUUACCGUCCGAAGGUCCGUUUCUCUUGGCAACGUUAUUGGACGACGGAAGGCGGUCACGGAACAUUUGCCAAGGAAACACCUUGAUUUUGAGGGGGAUAGCCACUUUCCACAGUCCCCUAGCUAUGUCAAGUGUAGGGAUCUCCAAUAAUUUGGCGUAAAGCGAUUUAACCGAGAACUUCCUGGAAUUUGUGAGAGACCGGGACACUACGUCUUGCUCGGUGCUCAGCAUAGUACCGGACAACAUGGUGCAUAGCCCCUCCCAGCACGCCCGUUCUGGGUCAGUGAGGGGCCGCAUGAAAGAGAUUGCUGGAGGGGUUGCUCUAAGCGCGUCUGCCACUAAAAUUUCUGUGUUCGUAGCUAAGCGGUAAAGAGAUUGGUGGCUUUGCCAAAGUGGCUCAGCACCACACCAAGAGUCAAGCCAGAAGCGUGUCGAUCUACCGUUGUUAACUCGAAACUGGGCUCCUAGCGCCAAAGCCGAUUUGACAGCCUGAAUCCUAUUCCAGAAGGUCGAACCUUUGGCCUUGGAAGUAAGGAAGUUACCGUUAGGGAAAUAUUUCGCCCUAAGGAUCUCCGCCCAGAGCCCCUGCUCAUUCUGCGAGAGCUUCCACAACCAUUUAGAAAGGAGGGCCACAUUCAUGAGUUUGGAGUUUAGAAUCCCCAACCCUCCAAACUUCUUGGGCCGGCAAACCGCAGCCCACUUGACUAAGUGGUAUUUCCUUUUGGUCCCUGUUCCUUCGUAAAAGAACUUGGACCUGGUGUGUCAAGCUUGGCGUGAACACCGUCAGCAAGAAUAAACAUACCCAUAGUAAACAUGGGUAGAGAGGAAAGACUAGCGUUAGUCAGGAUAAGCCUAGUGGCUUAGGACAUGAACCUACCACGCCAAGGGCUGACCUUGUUCGCCACCUUGCCAUAAAGGGGCUCCCAAUCGUGAAUGGAGAUAUGUUUGUUAGUGAUCGGGAGGCCUAGGUACUUAAUCAGGAAGCUCCCUAACUUACAAUUAAGCAUAUUGGCAACAUAGAUCGCCUCAGGUUCUACCAUCCCAAUGGCAAUCACCUUGCUCUUAAGGAACUUGAUCUUCAGGCCCGAGAUCACCUCGAAAGCUAAAAGGAUGAGCUUGAUAUAAGCGAUACUAUGGUUUUCGGGCUCAAAGAGCAGCAUCGUGUCGUCCGCGUAUUGGAGAUGCGUGACUCCCCCUGGAAUGAGGUGAGUGACCAUGUCCCGGAUGUGCCCGGCAUCCUUCGCCUUGUUGAUCAUGGCCGAGAGGGCGUCCGCAACUAGGUUAAAGAUCAAGGGGAAGCUUGGGUCUCCUUGUCUUAGGCCACGCUUGUUGCAGAAGAAGUUCCCAACUUCUCCGUUAAUUGACACUACAGUNNNNNNNNNNNNNNNNNNNNNNNNNNNNNNNNNNNNNNNNNNNNNNNNNNNNNNNNNNNNNNNNNNNNNNNNNNNNNNNNNNNNNNNNNNNNNNNNNNNNNNNNNNNNNNNNNNNNNNNNNNNNNNNNNNNNNNNNNNNNNNNNNNNNNNNNNNNNNNNNNNNNNNNNNNNNNNNNNNNNNNNNNNNNNNNNNNNNNNNNNNNNNNNNNNNNNNNNNNNNNNNNNNNNNNNNNNNNNNNNNNNNNNNNNNNNNNNNNNNNNNNNNNNNNNNNNNNNNNNNNNNNNNNNNNNNNNNNNNNNNNNNNNNNNNNNNNNNNNNNNNNNNNNNNNNNNNNNNNNNNNNNNNNNNNNNNNNNNNNNNNNNNNNNNNNNNGAACUAAACCUAACUCGAAGCCCUUCCGAAUCAGAACCUCAAGAAUGAAAUCCCAGUUCACUAGAUUGUAGGCUUUCUCGAAGUCCAGCUUGAGGAGCACAACCUGCUGCUUGGUUCAUUUAAGCUCAUGGAUAGUUUCCUGAAGCACAACCGGGCCCUCAAGAAUGUUGCGACCUUUGAGAAAGGUCGACUGGCUCCUAUUGAUCACCCGCUGCGCGAUAGGGGCCAGUCUCAUCGUGUAAGCCUUAGCGCAAAUUUUGAAAGGAAUAUUGAUGAGGGUUAUCGGUCGGUACUGCUUAAUCGAGUCGCACCCCAUAACCUUUGGGAUCAAGCUGAUGACCCCAAAGUUGAGGCGUGAGAUGUCUACCAUACCUAACACAAACCCGUUGAUAAUAUCAUAAAACCACCCUUUCAGUGCUGGCCAAAAGUGUCUAAAUAAGGCCACCGGCCAGCCAUCGGGGCCUGGGGCAGUGUCAACCUUCAUUGAACCCACAGCCGAGUCAAUUUCCUCCGUGGAAAAGGACAGGGCCAGGAGAUCGUUUUCUUCCUGUGAAACACGAGUGUCAUGUCCCCACAUGUCAGGUCAUAGUCGCAGUGGUUUCUGUCGUGGUUCUAAGCCUGACAGUAGAAUGAGGGGGUAGGUAUGGAGAGGCAAGAUCCUAGCUAUGGAGCAGUUGUGCACACAAGUGUUUUACGAGUUCAGGCCCUUCUCGGAGGAAGUAACAGCCCUACGUCUCGGAGCCCGGAGGCGGUCGACUGAAUUAUGUGUGUGAGAGUUACAGGGGUGCGAACCCUUCUACCAGUGGAGGGGGUGGCUUAUAUAGAGGAUGCCAAGACCCUAGCCAUCCCACGUAGCAGAGGGUUAAAGUACAUUAAGGUCUGGCGUUACUGGUAACGCCCUACAUAAAGUGCCAUCAUGACCAUUAAGACUACUUAAUUACAGACCGUUUGGAUACAGAGCAGAUCUUGAACUCCUGGUGGUCGAGUGAGUCUUCAUGGUCGAGUGUCUUCAGGUUCGUCGAGUGUCUUCUAGUCCGUAGAGUGGAGUCCCUCUUGGUCGACUGGAAGACGGCUUCUUCUAAGAGAUGUCCUUGGGGAGGGUACCUUGGUCAGGUUCAUGACCCUACCCUAGGUACAUGACUUCAUCAGUAGCCCCCGAAUGGAUCGAGGUUUGAGUGAGGAAGGAGUUGGCAAUCUUUCCGACCUGCUAUUUGGUGCUGUAAAGGUGUUUUGCUCUGGAUCAAUGACUUUCAAGUGAGGGUGUCAACUUUCGUUCAGUCACCUUGAUCCAUUCUUUAUAUCUGUCGAGUGAACUUUAUGAACUUGGGAAUUUCCGAGCGACGGAUUGUAGGAGAUCUUCCGUCUGACAAGUUGCCCUGUGGCUAGCGGAUUUAGUGGGAUCCGAAUUUUGGGAAGCGCGCGAAGCGGAGCAGACCAAGGUACUCGGAUGGGAUAAGGCAGGGACGCCUCGAUUCUCGCGCCGCCUUUUUCGCCACGUAUCGCUUGCGCGACUGUUUCGGGAUUUGACAGGAUCGCCUGGGCCUACCUGUCGGCCACUCGGAAGUGACCCCAUAUAAGGAAACCGGCGGAGGUUUUUUGAACAGUGCCUCCUCAUUUUCUCCUCCCUCGCCUCCAGAUUCAUCCGCUGUGCCCACCAACUGCCCGACGCCGCUGCUCCGUUCCGGCCUCGUCAGCGACAAUGGUGAAAGAGAAGACGGCAGCUUUGGAGCGGGCGAAGAAGGCGACGGCGGCGGCGAAAGUGGAGGGAAGAGCGACCAGUCGAGGGGGAUCCUCAUCACGGUCCCGUUUGCCGCAAGGUUGGAUCCAGGGUGAUUGGAUCCGCUCGACCAUCACGCAAAAGGAUCUCGACGACCUGGCCGACGAAGGCCUGAUUGCGCACGGGGCGGCGAGGCUUCCGGGGAUGGAGUGGCAGCCACAGCCUCGGGAGGGUGAGUAUGUCCUCUUGGCGACUCAUGUAGAUCGAGGGUUCUCUCUGCCACCGCAUCUUUUCUUUCGAGGGUUUCUGAAUUUCUUUGGAGCUCAGCUUCACCACUUUACCCCUAAUUCCAUUGCCUAUCUCUCCGCCUUUGUAUCUUUGUGUGAGAACUUCUUGGGUUGUCGGCCGCACUGGGGCCUCUUCAAACACAUAUUCACUUGUUGUUCUCAGAAGGUGAAAAAGGCCAGCCCCAAUGACGGGAGAACUCAGGUAAUCCAGAUGUGUGGGGGUCUCGGGGUCCAGAUGAGGAGUAAGAGCGCUUUCCCAGCUAUGACCCUUCCCGAGUCAGUUAGAGGGUGGCAGUCGACCUGGUUCUACUACCAAGACCAGUCGACGCCAGGACAGUCGACUGGGCUCCCUCCCUUCUCUAUGAGUCGAGUGAACAAGCCAUCCUUUAUGGAAGUAGUUCCGGAGGAGAAGGCUCAGGUAAAAAUGUUGAUGGAGCGAGUAGUUCAGUUGAUCUGUGACAGUGUGACUGGCAUGGACCUUCUGGAGGUUUUCCUUCGGCGGCGCAUCCAACCACUCCAGUACCGGGGCCACCCGAUUUGGUUGUAUUCUGGUACUGAAGACACUAGUCGGGUCCACCCAGAGGAGGUCGAUGAUGCCACACUGGAGAGGUGGAUGACUGCCAUCACGGGGAACAAGGACAACCCUCGUGGAGCCAGGAGGAUCCCGCCACUCGACCAAUCUUAUGAGGCGGACAAGGUAUGACCACUUUCCUCCGAUUGCUCCAUCCGUUCUGUUCCGUCGUAGAUCAGUCGAUUGACUUUUGUCUUGCUUGCUGUCUUUCAGGAAACCACCGAGUUGUACUCGAUGCCAAAUGGGGCACAGGCGCAGGCCGAAGAGGAGGAGGGAAGCGGAGGCGAAAGCCAAGAGGAGUGGGAGUCGGAUACCGAUGAGGGUGACGAAGAUGCAGGCUCUGAUGAGGAGGAAGAGGAGGAGGAAGUUGCGCCUCCUCGUUCCGAAAGGAGGUCCAAGCUCGCCCACGACCCUGCGGCUGAUCGUGGCAAGGGAGUCGUACCUGCUGGGCAGUCGACGAAACGCCCUCAGGCAACUUCACCGGCGCCGACUGAAAAGGCAUCGAAGCAACCCCGAGCGACCCCGACAACACCGGCGAAGGCCCUACCGAAGAUGAGGAUGGAAAUCCCGACUGUUUUUGGGUAACGGCAUAACUCAUGUUUUUCAUUCUUGGUCGACUCAAUCGCUGACCGACUGAUAUUUGAAAUCGUAGUGCUGCUACUUCUGAGACUUCAACCAGGCACGAGGAUCAAGAAAUGGAAGAUGCUGCUACUUCUCAUCCAGGUAUGAUCUGCGCGGUUUUGCUUUUGGUUGAUUGAAUCUUUAUUUUUUGACAUUGAACUUCUUCUGCAGCUCCACCUAGCGUUGUCAUCAAUCUCCCUGACGAUGACGAUGAAGCGCCACUGAGGCAGAGGAGGAGCAGGAAGGCGACUGUUGGCAAGGCUGUUCCGGUUGUGUCAGCACCUGGACCACAGAUUCCGGAAGGGAGCAACGUUGCUCGGGCUAUCGUGUCCUUUGCGGAGCCGUUGACGGUUUCCCGCCCUUUGUCGUCGAGUGUUGACCCGCCUUCUCUCUUCUCCACCUACCACGUCCCGGAGGACCAAGCAAGCGCUGCCAAGGAAGCCAUACGCCAGGACGGGAUUAUGAUGGAGCAGGUGAAGGUGAUCCGAACCGCCAGCCAAGCAGCUUAUGGCGCGAGCUCAGCUCUCCGGAGCAAUGUCCAGGUUUGUUAAACAUCGACUGGAAAUCUUGAUAUUUGUCAUGCACCCACUGGGUGUGUCAAUUCUAUGGUGGACUGCUGGCAGCCGACUGUAGUCUUUGUGUCUUGAGAUUUCUCACUUUACUUGUUUCACUCGAGCGUAGUCGAGUGGAACAAUAAAACUGCUUCCGGUCGACUGAUCGACUCUGAGUCUAGUUGAUAGAACUAGUGGGGGCACGCUGAGUGCACCCACUGGGUGUAGUCCCCGAGACCGUGGUCGAUUGCUGGCAAUCGGCUAUGGUCUGAUUGAUUUUUUUUACUGCUGACAGUUAACUGCUUCCGGUCGACUGAUCGACUCUGAGUCUAGCUGAUAGAACUAGUGGGGGCAUGCUGAGUGCACCCACUGGGUGUAGUCCCCGAGACUACAGUUGAAUGUUUAGAUUCAGCUGUAGUCUUAGAAAUAUUAUGAUUUUUCUUUUAGUCAUUCGGAAGUGAUUUGUCGUUGAUGUCUGUCGACUGAACUUUCGCAGAAAUCUUGUGACCUUGUUUCUCGUUAUACCGAAUUGGAGAACAAGCAUAUCCAUCUUGAACUUGACCAGAAGCUUGUCCAAGAGAACUUUACGAAGUCGAAGGAGGAGGCAAAAGGUAUGUUUGGUGAGAAUCUUGACGACUGUCCUUGCUUCUUGCCUGUCUCCGAGUCUGAUCUUAUUGUGGUUUUGCAGAAAAACUGAGGGAUGCCCUGAAGAAGAAGGACCUUGACCUCGCCGAGGCGCAGAAAGCGGCUUCGGACAAGAUAAAACUUGCAGAAGAAAAGUUGGCUUCUGUCAACAAACUUGAAGAGGAAAACACUAAUCUGAAAGCUGCUCUCGACGUGGCCAACCAAGAGGUCACUCGACUGAAGAAUGCCAAUAUGGUCCUGAGUGACAAAGCUGGCGAACUGGCAGGAAAGAAGAAUGACUUGGAGGUUUAUCUGGGAGGACUCGCCAAGAAGCUAUUCCUUAUGCUCGAAGGUAACUCCUUAUCUCCGAUUGGUAAUUACUGACUUGCUGUAAGGGCAUUAGCUUAUCCUUGAAUCGUGUCCACAGAAUUCUGCCAAAACUUUGAAGAGGAGACUAGUCGAGUGGAGACUGGCUUAGAUCCUAUCAAUUCUCCGGUGAAGGAUGAAACCGCUAUGAACGUGCUCCGCCUCGAGUCUCGCGUUGCUGCAGUGGUCGAUUACCUUGCAAGACUGAAGGCCACAACGUCGCGCAUCGACACAUCGCUCUGGCCAGAAGAAACGCUUCAGAACGACCUUGAGUCGCUGAUGACUCGACUGAACGAAGUUCCGAGUCGAGUGCAAGAAUGGAAGAAGUCUUCUGCCAGGUGCGGUGCUGACGUCGCUCUGUCCUUGGUCCGCGUCCACUGCAAGGAAGCGAGAGAAGACAAGUUGGUGUCUCUCAAGGUGGCCAACACUAGGAAGCAUGACUUCCGUUCUUUCAUGGAGACCUUCAUCGCGGCUGCCACUCGGAUCGCAGAUGGGAUAGACCUGGACGAGUUCUUUGCGCCUUCCAGCCCUCCGCAGGAGGGGUAAAAAACUUCUAUGCUCGAUGAUUUGAAUUUGCCUCAGAAUGCCGAGUGAUUUUUGUAACCGCCAAACUUUAACAGGCUUGAUGCCUGAGCACUUCUGGGUCCGUAGGACGUUAUCCGAACUUGAUUUGCCGUUGAAAUAUGUUUGCUUCUUUCGGACAAUCAUCUUCUUUGGGUUGGAGUAUAUACUAGCAUCUGUGAUGCUCUUUUGCAGGUAGGAGUGAAGCACAAAUUGCCGUCGGCCUGUGCUCGUCAUGUCUGGGCGAGUGCUUGGUUGCGACCAGGCCUCCGAGUGAGAAACUUGUUCUUAGGCGAGCACUGGGCUGCAACUAAGCCCCUGAAUGGGAGGUUUGCUCUCCACUCGGUAGGAUUUUAGAAACUUAGGCGAGCACUGGGCUGCAGCUAAGCCCCUGAGUGGGAGGUUUGCUCUCCACUCGGUAGGAUUUUCAAAAUCUUAGGCGGGCACUGGGCUGCAGCUAAGCCCCCGAGUGGGAGGUUUGCUCUCCACUCGGUAGGAUUUUAGAAAUUUAGGCGAGCACUGGGCUGCAGCUAAGCCUCCGAGUGGGAGGUUUGCUCUCCACUCGGUAGGAUUNNNNNNNNNNNNNNNNNNNNNNNNNNNNNNNNNNNNNNNNNNNNNNNNNNNNNNNNNNNNNNNNNNNNNNNNNNNNNNNNNNNNNNNNNNNNNNNNNNNNNNNNNNNNNNNNNNNNNNNNNNNNNNNNNNNNNNNNNNNNNNNNNNNNNNNNNNNNNNNNNNNNNNNNNNNNNNNNNNNNNNNNNNNNNNNNNNNNNNNNNNNNNNNNNNNNNNNNNNNNNNNNNNNNNNNNNNNNNNNNNNNNNNNNNNNNNNNNNNNNNNNNNNNNNNNNNNNNNNNNNNNNNNNNNNNNNNNNNNNNNNNNNNNCUAAGCCUCCGAGUGGAAGGCUGGCUUACCACUCGGUAGGAUUUUAGAAACUUAGGUGAGCAGUGGGCUCCAGCUAAGCCCCCGAGUGGGAGGUUUGCUCUCCACUCGGUAGGAUUUUCAAAAUCUUAGGCGAGCACUGGGCUGCAGCUAAGCCUCCGAGUGGAAGGCUGGCUUACCACUUGGUAGGAUUUUAGAAACUUAGGCGAGCACUGGGCUGCAGCUAAGCCUCCGAGUGGAAGGCUGGCUUACCACUCAGUAGGAUUUUCAAAAUCUUAGGCGAGCACUGAGCUGCAGCUAAGCCCCCGAGUGGAAGGCUGGCUUACCACUCGGUAGGAUUUUGUUUACUUAGGCGAAACGGAUUCGCAGCUAAGCCUCCGAGUGGAAGGCUGGCUUACCACUCGGUAGGAUUUUUUACAAGCUUAGGCGAACCAGGUUCGCAGCUAAGCCACCCACUGGGGGACAGAUUUAUGAGAGUAAAAGCAAUAACAAUUACUAAGAAAAUUAUGAAACUCUUGUCUUUGAUGAAUACACUACAGGAGUACUUUUAUUACAACUCAUCCGAGUGAAAAACUUAAGUAUAAAAAGGGCGAAGUAAGUCCGCGUUCCAUGCUCUGGGCUCAUCAAUCUGGUGCUCGACAUUGUAAAGGCGGUAUGCCCCGUUAUGGAGAACCUUGGUAACGAUGAAGGGACCUUCCCAAGUAGGAGCAAGCUUGUGUGAUUUCUGCUGAUUCACUCGGAGAACUAAAUCUCCCUCCUGGAAAGCUCGACUCUUCACAUUUCUGGCAUGGAAGCGACGCAAGUCCUGCUGAUAAAUGGUCGAUCGGAUCAAGGCCAUCUCCCUUUCUUCUUCUAGAAGGUCGACCGCGUCCUGUCGGGCUUGCUCUGCUUCAGCUUUGGUGUAGAGUUCGACUCAAGGUGCGUUGUGAAGCAGGUCACUCGGCAAGACUGCUUCAGCUUCGUAGACCAAGAAGAACGGAGUCCUCCCAGUCGACCGGUUUGGCGUGGUCCUUAAUCCCGAAAGCUCCGACGGAAGUUCGUCGACCCAUGCGCCAGCUGCGUGCUUGAGGUCGUCCAUCAGUCGGGGUUUCAACCCUUUGAGAAUUAAGCCGUUUGCUCGUUCUGCUUGCCCAUUCGACUGAGGGUGGGCAACGGAAGCAUAAUCGACUCGUGUACCCUGAGAUGCGCAGAAGGCUCUGAAUUCUUCAGAGUCGAAGUUUGACCCAUUGUCUGUGAUGAUACUGUGGGGAACUCCAUAUCUGAAUAUCAACUCCCUGAUGAAGCUGACGGCGGUGCCGGCAUCCAGAUUCUUGAUGGGUUUAGCCUCAAUCCACUUAGUGAACUUUUCGACUGCUACCAAUACAUGGGUGUAGCCGUUUCUGCCUGUUCUCAGUGGUCCAACCAUAUCCAACCCCCAUACAGCAAAAGGCCAGACGAGAGGAAUGGUCUUCAAGGCUGAGGCGGGUUUGUGUGACAUAUUGGAGUAGAAUUGACAUCCUUCACACUUGUCGACUAUCUCUUUUGCCAUCUCAUUUGCUCUGGGCCAGUAAAAACCCGCUCGGUAUGCUUUAGCCACGAUGGUCCGAGAGGACGCAUGAUGGCCACAGGUCCCCGAGUGGAUGUCAUUGAGAAUCAUUCGACCUUCUUCCGGUGUUAUGCACUUCUGGCUGACUCUAGUCGCACUUUCUCUGUACAACUGACCCCUCAUGACGGUGAAGGCUUUAGAUCAACGGACGAUCUCUCGAGCCUCUUCUUCAUUCUCGGGGAGCUCUUUCCUCAGAAUAUGGGCGAUAUAGGGCACUGUCCAGUCGGGAGUGAUGACUAGAACUUCCAUGAUUAAGUCGACCACAGCUGGGACCUUGACUUCAGUCGGAUCUGUGGCGCUUUUCGGCUGCGUGGCUUCCUCAGUGAAAGGAUCUUCUUGAGCCGAUGGCGUGUGAACAUGCUCCAAAAACACGCCACUCGGAAUGGCUUCCCUCUUGGAACCUAUCUUGGCCAAGUCAUCGGCUGCUUGAUUUUUCAGUCGGGGGACGUGAUGGAGCUCUAAUCCCUCAAAUUUCUUCUCCAGCUUUCUGACUGCAUUGCAGUAUCCGGUCAUGGCUGGGCUUCUGACGUCCCACUCCUUCAUCACUUGGUUGACCACUAAGUCCGAGUCACCGUAGACCAUGAGGCGACGGACGCCGAGUGAAAUGGCCAUACGCAACCCGUACAAGAGUGCUUCGUAUUCUGCUUCAUUGUUGGAGGAAUCAAAGUGAAUCUGGAGUACAUAUCUGAGCUUAUCUCCUCGGGGGGAAACCAAGACCACUCCGGCACCGGAACCAUUCAGCAUUUUGGAGCCAUCGAAGAACAUAGUCCAGUGCUCCGAGUGAACUUGGGUCGGUAACUGCUGUUCAGUCCACUCGGCGAGAAAAUCUGCUAUUGCUUGGGACUUGAUAGCUUUCUUUGCCUCAAAUCUGAUAUCUAGGGGAAGAAGUUCAAUCGCCCAUUUUGCCACUCGACCGGUUGCGUCUCUGUUGUGCAGAAUCUCUGAUAAGGGGGCGUCGGUGACGACUGUGAUAAUAUGGUCAGAGAAGUAAUGAGAAACUUUCUUCGUGGUCAUAUAAAUCCCAUAUACAAGCUUCUGAUAAUGAGGGUAUCGUUGCUUGGAUGGGGUCAGGACUUCGGAAAUGUAAUAUACUGGGCGCUGAACUUUGAAGGCUUUCCCUUCUUCUUCCCGCUCGACCGUAAGUACAGUACUGACGACUUGUCCUGUGGCUGCAAUGUAAAGCAGCAAAGGCUCUUUGUUGAUUGGGGCAGCAAGCACCGGCUGGGUGGAAAGCAGAGUUUUUAACUCUGCAAACGCUGCAUCAGCUUCUGGAGUCCACUCGAACUUGUCUGACUUCUUCAUCAGUCGGUAAAGAGGCAAUGCCUUUUCACCGAGGCAAGACAUGAAUCGACUUAACGCGGCCAAGCAUCCAGUAAGUUUCUGGACAUCAUGCACACGCACGGGGCGUUUCAUUCGGAGUAUAUUGCCAACUUUUUCUGGGUUGGCGUCGAUUCCUCGUUCGGAAACGAGAAAACCGAGUAACUUUCCAGGAACUCCGAAUGUGCACUUUGAUGGAUUAAGCUUGAUAUCAUACCUCCUGGGGUUGGUAAAUGUUUCAGCAAGGUCAGUCAGUAGGUCGGAACCUUUCCGUGACUUGACCACAAUGUCAUCCAUGUACGCUUCCACAUUCCGACUGAUUUGAGUGAGCAAACACUUCUGAAUCAUCCUCAUGAAUGUGGCUCCGGCAUUCUUGAGGCUGAAUGGCAUGGUGACAUAACAGAAGCACCCGAAUGGGAUGAUGAAAGCCGUUUUGAUCUCAUCGGGUCCAAACAGACGGAUCUGAUGGCACCCGGAAUAAGCAUCCAAGAAAGAAAGUCGCUCACAUCCCGCAGUCGAGUCGACUAUUUGGUCGAUGCGGGGAAGAGGAAAAUGAUCUUUCGGGCAGGCCCGAUUGAUAUGCUUGAAAUCGAUGCACAUGCGAAGCGAAUUGUCCUUUUUGGGGACCAUAACGACAUUGGCAAGCCACUCGGAGUGGUAAAUCUCUCGGAUAAACUCUGCUGCUAGGAGCCGAGCCACUUCUUCGCCAAUGGCCUUCCUUUUCUGGACGGUGGACCAUCGCAGAUGUUCCUCCACAGGUUUUGCCUUUGAAUCGACUCGUAGGUGAUGCUCAGCUAGUCCCCUGGGUACACCCGGCAUGUCAGAAGGUUUCCAUGCAAAAAUGUCCCAGUUCUCACGGAGGAACUGGAUGAGCGCUUCUUCCUAUUUGGGGUUGAGUGUUGUGGAGAUAUGAGUCGGAGCAGCGUUAGGGUCGGUCGGGUGGAUGUGAACGGGUUUUGUCUCACCAGACGACUGGAACGCUGAUUCCGUAGCAGGCUUCUUGGCUCGCAACAAAUCACUCGGGUCUGCAUUCCUUUGGUGUUCCUGCCACUCUUCUGCCACCAUCUGAGCAUCGGCGAUCUUUGAGCCUUUUUGGAAGCACUCUUCUGCCUUCCUGCGGUUACCAGUGACAGUGAUCACGCCUUUAGGGCCAGGCAUCUUUAGUUUGAGGUACACGUAACAUGGUCGAGCCAUAAAACGUGCAUAAGUUGGCCUCCCAAAAUUGCAUGAUAGGCACUCUAGAAAUCCAUGACCUCAAAUGUCAGCUUCUCUUUGCGAAAAUUCUUUGAAUCACCAAAAACUACGUCAAGAGCAAUCUGGCCGAGUGAUGCGGCCUUCUUGCCAGGGAUGACUCCAUAAAAACUCAUGUUGCUUGUGCUCAGCCUGGACAUCGGAAUGCCCAUCCCUUUCAGCGUCUCAGCAUACAGUAUAUUCAAACUGCUGCUGCCAUCCAUCAACACUUUGGUCAGUCGAGUGCCUUCAACGACGGGGUCGACCACUAGCGCUUGCCUCCCAGGGGUGGCUAUGUGCGUGGGGUGGUCAGAUUGGUCGAAUGUAAUGGCAGUCUGAGACCACUUCAGGUAAUUGGGUGUUGACGGAGCAGCCAUAUUUACCUCUCGGUUUAUAACUUUCAGUCGGUUUUUGCUCUCAACAUCGGCAAAAAUCAUCAAGGUGGAAUUGACCUACGGAUAUUCCCCGUCACUAUCCUCCUUGUCCUCAACCUUAUCCGACUCUUUUUCUUUGUCCUUAGACUGCUUCCCUUGGAACUGCUGUAUCAGGAGUCGACACUGUCGAGUGGUAUGCUUCGAGUAGAUGAAAUUACCCUCUUCGUCUUUCUUGGUGUGGAUGUGACAUGGUAAAUCCAACACGUCAUUUCCUUCUUUAUCUUUUACUUUCUUGGGGUUCCAAGGCCCCUUGGGUUUCCCUUUGAACUUUCCUUGGUUCAGGGCCAAGGCUUCUCUAGGAGCGGCUGGCUCGGCUUUACGCUUUUGCUUCCGAGUGGAAUUUCCGCCUCCGGUGUCCUGGGCGACUGACUUGUGCUUCCCGCUCCGGAGCCGAUCCUCUUCCUCGCCAUUAGCAUAUUUGGUGGCAAUUUCCAUCAUUCGGCUCAAAGACAUGUCUCUGGUUCGACCGAAUUUCAGACUUAGCUCUCUGUACUUUACGCCCUCCUUGAAGGCGCAAACUGCCUGGUGAUCAGAUACAUUUUCUACUGUGUGAUGCAGCGUGAUCCAUCUCUUGAUGUAAUCCCUCAGAGUCUCAUUCGACUUCUGUACACAAGAUUGCAGCUCUGUCAGUCCCGCCGGCCGCUUGCACGUUCCUUCAAACGUCCUGACAAACACUCGGGAGAGGUCCUCCCACGUGUAGAUGCCGCUGGGUGUCAACUGAUUCAGCCAUGCCCUGGCUGACCCUUCCAACAUGAGAGGCAGAUGUUUCAUGGCCACCUCGUCAUUUCCACCGCCGAUCUGAACAGCCACUCGGUAGUCCUCAAGCCAAGUAUCGGGCUUGGACUCACCGUUGAACUUGCUGACUCCAGUCGCCAACCUGAAGUUGGGAGGAAUCACCGCGGCUCUGAUGGCUCUGCUGAAACACUCUGGUCCGGAGACGUGCACUCGGCUGCUGGUGGGUACAUCUCUGUCAUUACCCUCUCUGUGGGCUCUGUUCCGGUCGACCAAACCUUGAACGAUGAUGGAUCUCGCAUCAAAGCCUAGUUCCCUGGGAUCGACUGGAAUUCUUCGUCCGCCACUGUACUGGCGUUUGUCAUCCUGCUGUCGAGGCAUAUAUGAUCCACCCCUCCCGGGGGGAGUGGGCACUCGACGUCGAUCGUUGCGAUCGACUCGGUGAUCAUCCUGCUCAUAGUUCCUGUACUGAUCGUGUCGGUCACCAUGCCCUUCACGCCUCGGGGGCGAUCUGGGGCUAUGAGCUGACUGGACAGUAUUCGCCGCCACGGACCUGCUAUGAAUCCUGUUCCGUGACUACGACACAGCCGAAUUCUGAUCUCCAGCUGCCCGGAGAAAAUCCCUGAUCUGCAUCAAGCCUCUGCCAGCCUCUGACUGGGAAGGCUGAAUCGACUCUGCUAUAUGUGUUGCAGCUGCCAAAUUCUGGAUUGGAGUGCGGUAUACCUGAGUCGGAGGUUUAAAGAGUUGGCGUCGACUGGAGUCUGGAAUCCGUUGCCGCGCGCGCUCGUCGAGUGCCCGCUGAAGGUUCUCUAGUCGAGCGCGCUCAGCCAGGUUGGCCAAGCGCGCGUCCUCUAAGGCGCGAGCCUCAGGGGUUUCUCCAAUGAUCGGAGUAUGAAGCGCAUCCAUGUUCCGGCGGCGAAGCUCUUCCCUCUACUGCGAGUCGAGGGGCUCGGGGCGAUACUCCUCAUGGUCGUGCGACGGGUGGCCUCCGCCGUUGCCUCCCUCGGUGCUAGGAAAGCCGGGGGGAACAUGCGGUUCAUUGACCAUCAGGACCUCCGCCACUGGAUCACUGCUGUUGCAUUCGAAUGCAGUCUCUACGGAGCCAGUCGACAGGUCGAACAUGCCGUAGAGAGAUUCGUCGGGCUCGAUUGCCGCAACUUGGGCAGUGGUCGACUGGCGAGCCACUGCGUGCCUCACCCACCGCUGAAGCCUCGACCGACCGGAGCGCUUACGCUGGCGGGAAGCUGGGAGGAAGGAUGACAUGAAAACUGGCCGAUACCGAGUCGACGGCUGCCGCAGAAGGACGUCGCGGACGCAUGCUCGAAAGUGCGUAGCUCCGCGGACCAGGAGCGCAUCCACGUCAAGCGGAGCCUCCUGCAGCCAGGCAGAGUCGUCGGCGACGAAUGUGAGCGCGCCGAGACGGAUCUCGCGGCCCUCAACCAAAACUCCACCUGAAACCAUGAUGAUGGGAAUGGAAAAGAUUGCAACUUCUCCAACAAGUCGCUAAGACACCUGCCCCACGGUGGGCGCCAACUGUCGUGGUUCUAAGCCUGACAGUAGAAUGGGGGGUAGGUAUGGAGAGGCAAGAUCCUAGCUAUGGAGCAGUUGUGCACACAAGUGUUUUACGAGUUCAGGCCCUUCUCGGAGGAAGUAACAGCCCUAUGUCUCGGAGCCCGGAGGCGGUCGACUAAUUAUGUGUGUGAGAGUUACAGGGGUGCGAACCCUUCUACCAGUGGAGGGGGGUGGCUUAUAUAGAGGAUGUCAAGACCCCAGCCAUCCCACGUAGCAGAGGGUUAAAGUACAUUAAGGUCUGGCGUUACUGGUAACGCCCUACAUAAAGUGCCAUCAUGACCAUUAAGACUACUUAAUUACAGACCGUUUGGAUACAGAGCAGAUCUUGAAUUCCUGGUGGUCGAGUGAGUCUUCAUGGUCGAGUAUCUUCAGGUUCGUCGAGUGUCUUCUAGUCCGUCGAGUGGAGUCCCUCUUGGUCGACUGGAAGACGGCUUCUUCUAAGAGAUGUCCUUGGGGAGGGUACCUUGGUCAGGUUCAUGACCCUACCCUAGGUACAUGACUUCAUCAGUUUCUCCUCAGCCGUUCCCAAAAGGCCAAGGAAGAAAUCGUAGAUGUGGGCGAAAAUCUCAUCUUGGUGUACUAACACCCCGUGGUUAGCUUGAAGCCUAAGAAUCGAGCAUUUGUGCUUGCGACCAUUGGCAUACGCGUGGAAAUAGCCAGUGUUAGUGUCGCCCUUGGUAACCAUAUGAGGCAGUCAAAACCUCGGCUCUUCCGGCCGCACCACCCCCAGGGGCUUUGCCCAAUAAAUAGCAGCAGCAACCCAGGAGGAAAAGGGCAUGUUUUCGAGGGGCGGCCAGGGAGGAGCAGGUUGAGGCCAUGCCACCAUGUCGGGCCGGUCGGAGGACACAACAGUUGGAGGAAGACCCGAACUUCGCUAGAUCGGAUCUGGCGUGGAGCAGGAGGGGGUGUCACGCUGCGCCAGGGCGGCUCGGGUCCGAGCCGCCCGCUGUCACCAUCCCGGGGCGCCGUGCGGCUUCAUUGGCAGGCCCUCCGUUGACGCCGAUGCGGAGGGAGAUAGCGGCGGUGGCUAGGGUUCCCUCGUGUCACCAGACGGGGAUGAGUUUCACCAAAUGAGACACACACAAGAAUGAAAAAUUCACGGGAAAAUAACUAUUAUACAUAAAAAACAAGGAUAUAGAGAGAUUGUAGAAAGGGAUCGGAUAGUUAUUUUUGUAUGUGACUUGUUGUAAAUUACUUAACUUAAGAAAGAAAAAAACAUAACAUAAAAAAAUAGUAAGUAAGAUGAGAUUCAACAUCCUCUACAUAUUUAAUCUCUUCCCCUAUACAAAAACUAGCAAGACCCACUCGCUUGGUAUACCAACCAAUAACACCAUGAUGAUCAAAAACCUCUAUUAGUUUGGUUAAUCCUCUUAUACUGAGGAUAAAAACCCUAUUAUACAAAAUAUCUAUAUAACCAUGUUUAUAUGACCAAUUGUAUUAUUUUUUACGUUCCUUUCUGUUCAUAUGGUUUGUAAUGAAGUAAAUGGCGGGUGUUUUUCUCAUUAGAUUUGUAGGUUGACCAGAUUAAGCACGGUGACUUAAGAAAUUGUUUGCUAUUUACUUCUAUGGCAGUUUCCUACCCUUGCAAUUUGGCCAUGUGAAUUAAUAUGUUGUAUGGUGGUGGCAUGACAAUAUUUUGGGAAUAAAAAUUCUUAUAACAUGGCAAAUUUAUGUUUUUUUAGUUCAUUCACACGGCAAUUUUUUUGAAAAUUUUCUGUCCUAAAUCAUGGAAAAUUUAGGUAAUUGUUUGUAAUGGUCACACGUGAAAUGUAGGGUUUUGCUGUUCUAUACAACAAUCCAUGUUUUUGAAAAUGUUUUAGUAGUCGCCAAACGAUAAAUUCCCAAUACUUCUGUACAUUUGCAUGGUAAAAAAAUUAGGACAAUUUUUCUGUCCCAAAUGACGGAAAUUUCAAUUUAUUUGUUGUCAUUUUCACAUGGCAAAUGUAGGUAUUCUGUUUCUGAGUUGGACCAUGGAAAAAGAAUUGUAUUUACCAUGACAUCUUUAUUGUAAUUUUCCAUUUUACUAUGUAUUCGUAGAUACUAUGGCAUAUUAUUUUCUUGAACAUAGUUUUUUUUUGCCAUGACCCUUUUCAGAAAAAUAAAUCCACUCAUCUAUGAUUUCCCUACCUUUUGCCAUUAUAUAGACUUGAAAAAAUGUACACAUAUGACAAAUUUGAUUUGUCCGAGUUUGAACAAGCCAAUUUGAACUGCGAUGACACAUGGAAUUUUUUGUUUCCUUUGCCAUGUCCAUGUCCAAAAGUAGGAAAACGAGAUUUUGCCAGAUCUCAUCUACAUUUUUGACAAUCCAUGGUGACAUGAUUUCAUGACGCAUGGCAAUUUGGUUUGAUGACAUAUGGUAAUUUUGGGCAUGUCCAUGUCCAAAAUGAAACUGAUUUUGCCAUGUCUCAUCUACAUUUUAUCCUACAUUUGCCAUGGCAAGCAAGAUCCUUUGUAAUACCUUUUGAUAAUUUAAUUACAUGUUUGGCCAUGCCAACUAAAUAUACCUCAAUUGUUCCUUCUCUUUUUAGAUGAUGACAUAAUAACAUGUGUUCCCAUGGAAAAUUUGAAAUAUUUUUUAGGAUCUAUUUUGGUAAUUUUACCAUGUUUUAUUUACAUUUCUUCCAAUAUUUUCCAUGGCUAUCAACAUUCUUUUUGUUGUCUUUAGCAAUUAAGCUCUCAAUUUUGUCAUGGAAACUAAAUAUCCUUAACUUUUGUGUUCCCAUGGCAAUUUUUGGAAAACAAAUUGCUAUUUCUCCAUGCCUCAUGUAAGACUUUUUUACUACAUUUUCCAUGGCAAAAGAAGAUCUUCUUAUUGCCUUGGCAAUAAAAUUUAUUUUUUCCCAUGCCAACUAAAUAUACUUCAAUUGGAGUUUUUGUAGCAUGGCAGAUUUUGGUUCGCAAAUUUAGAUGCACAAUAUUUUUUAAUAAUAAAUAUAACUUGACAUACCAUGGUCAAUUCUUUUGGUACAUUUAUUUUUGGACAUGGCAAAUUAGAAAUUUUGAUAAAUUAUUUUGUUUAUGCCACAGCAAAUUUGUUUUUACAUGACUAUUUCAAAAAAAAUGUUUUACCAUCUUCUCUUAUGAAACAAUUUCUUUGGUAAAUCUGCUAUGUGAUGGCUACAAAUAAUUUUGGAAUUUUGCAUGCUCUAUACAAACAAUUUUCCCUUAAUUGAUAUGUGACAUUUUACACUUUUCUUCCAAAUCUUGCCAUGACUAACUUUUUAUUUCACAAUGGCAAGAUUUGCAUUCAUUAGUAAAAUUCAAACUUUCCACGGCCAUCGAAUUGCACUGCUAGACCAUGGCUGGUUUUGCAUUCAUGGCGAAGAAAAAUAAAAUCAAAAUAUUAAACAAAAUUGCGUUGCUAGGCCAUCGCAAUUUGUGUCUUGGCAAAUUUAUUUUAAUGGACAUGGAAAAUUUAUUUUCAAAGCCAUGUCAAUUUAGUUUUCCCUAUACCAUGACAAAAUUGUCUUUGACAUCCAUGGCAAAUUUAGUUUUUCGACAGUUUUUAAAAUCCCGCACCUUAAGUUCAUUACAAUCAGAGUCUAAAAACUACAAUCAGUACAACUUUUUAAGUGUUAUUUUACGAUGAGAAAAAUGUUCACACGUCAACUUUUUGUCUUUUUUUCAUCAUACACAUGGCAAAUUUGUAUACAAAAUGUAUUCAUUAAAUCCUGCCAAGUCUAGAUGUCUUCCAAUACUUGUUUGAAGUGGGGGUUGGGGGUUAGGAACCGAAGGGAGGGGGUAUUUUCAAUUUUACUCUUCAUCCGAGCUCAUUUGAGCUCGAGCUCAGAUUCUUCGCAUCCGUAAAUACCUUGCUUUUUUUAGACAAUAAUGCAUACCUUGCUCGCAGUGAAAUUCCGCGGACUGGGAAAUCAGAAAAUAGCAGAAAAAUACGAGUACUACGGUUAGGGUUUCAAAAAACUACCUAUUUUUUCAAAUACCUACCAACUAUCUGGCUUUUCGUUUUGGAAAACUAAGAGUAACCAACAAUUUUGUUAACGGACUUAGCUUUUCCUCCCAUAUCCUUGACGGUUAGGUCAAACUCUCCCCUCCAAGCUUCAAUGGCAAGACCAUGAAUUCUCCUCCGCUAUGUUUGCUGCUCUGGUGGCCGGUGGCAGGGAGGCGAACUACGGUGCCUCUGCUCGUGUAAGUAGUUUAGGUUAAGUUAUUUUAGUACUUGCAGGUGCAUCCCUCGGGCGGAUGGCGACGCUUCUUCUUUGAGUUUGUCUCCUAGGCUCCAAUCAUCCUCGAGUUCAUCCAUCUAGACGUAGUCGACGGAGCUACAGCGUAGAUUUUUUAUGUCUCCUUGGAUGGUGAGUUUAGGGUGUCUCGCCGCGUGGCAAGAUUUUCAUUUCAGAUGCUUCAGAUAUAUUCAAGGCUUCAACGGCGAUGACCACAGAUCUAGGGCAUUGAUCCUUAGGGACACAUGCAUGAAGACUUCUGGGUUUUCAUCGAUAAGAUUAAGCCAGCUUCGUUGGAGGAGCAACAACAACGACACGACAGUGGCUUGUUCUAGCAAUGGCAGUGGUCAUUUGAUGGUCUUGGAAUCUCGAUGUAAUUUUAUUAUGUUUGAGGUGCUUUGUUCUUCUAUGAACUUUGAUGGAUCAUUUUCAUAAUAAAAAGUGGAAGGUAUUUGCGAAAAAAAUAAAAUUAGGUAGUUUUUUAGAACCUUAACGAUUCCGAUAGUUUUAUGCUAUUUACUCGAGAAAUCAAGGCACGCCCAGUCAAAACUCACACCGACCAAGUUUUUUUCGGAAAGGACCACCAGCUAACCAGUGGAUUCGCCUCCCCUCUGCCUGCCGCUCCAGUGACCGGUGGCGCAGAGGGAAAUCCUGGUGCCUUGACUCUGGCUAGUAGUUUAUGUUAGGGUUCGUUAGUCCUCGCAUGGGUGAUGCUCGGGCAGAUGGCGGUGCAUCAUCUUUGAGUUGGUCUUCUGGGCUCUGAUCCUUCUUGAAUUCUUCUGUUAGGAUGGAGUCAACAAAGCUCCAACGUACAUUCCUGGCAUCUCCUUGGGGGCGUUGAGGUUAAGAUUUAUCCCCGUAUGUGCGCGACGGAAAGAUUUAGUGUUAGACACUUUAGAUUAAUUCAAGGAUUAAAGGGUUUAACGAUGACGAGCGCGACUCCAAGGAGCUAGUCCUUAGAGGCACGUGCACGAAGACUUCUCGGUUGUCAUCGACAAAGUCAGGUCGGCUCCGAUAUUGGAGCAAUGACAACUGCGCAUCAGCCACUCGUUCUGGCAACGGUAGUAGUCGUUUGGUGGUACAGGAAUCUCGAUAUAAUUUUCAUUAUGUUUGGGAUACUUUGUACUUCAAGUGAACUCUCUUAAUAGAUCAAUUCCUUUUCGCAAAAAAAAGAAACAAGAGUUUUUUCUUUUUACAUGAGGAGGAACUAGACUUGCUCGUAGCCAUCCACCCACAAACACUUAAAUUACCGAGGCAUCUUCGACACCGACCGUUAAGCUGUCUACAACCGUCUGGACUGUUUAGACGUGUUUUGCCAUCCAAAGCGGAUCUGUAUCAGUCCGCCGACCUAUCUGGAUGUGCUCUUUCCCGCAAAUUGGAAACAAACUUGAAAGGGUGGGACUUUGUGGGCGUCCGAACUGCUGCCACGCCCGCUUCUAACUACCUUGGCCCAACCAAAAAACCCUUCAUCGUCAGCGCCCGAAGGCAGCUGCCCACAUUAAUGUAGCUCUAGAGCAGCCGCCCCGCAUUGACACCAGCCUAGAGCGGACGUGACCUCUUGUUGGCGCUGGCAUUGAAGUGGCUCGCUGGCCGAGGAUGCCGCCUGCUGCAUGUCCGAUGUCCGUGCUUGUUCAAUGCAGGAAAGUUGUUGAUGUCUACUACACAACCUUCUUCUUGUAGACGUUGUUGGACCUGCAAGUGCACAGGUUUGUAGGACAGUAGCAAAUUUCGCUCAAGUGGAUGACCUAAGGUUUAUCAAUCCGUGGGAGGCGUAGGAUGAAGAUGGUCUCUCUCAAACAACCCUGCAACCAAAUAACAAAGAGUCUCUUGUGUCCCCAACACACCCAAUACAAUGGUAAAUUGUAUAGGUGCACUAGCUCGGCGAAGAGAUGGUGAUACAAGUGCAAUAUGGAUGGUAGAUAUAGGUUUUUGUAAUCUGAAAUAAUAAAAACAGCAAGGUAACUAAUGGUAAAAGUGAGCGUAAACGGUAUUGCAAUUAUAGGAAACAAGGCCUAGGGUUCAUACUUUCACUAGUGCAAGUUCUCUCAACAAUAAUAACAUAGAUAGAUCAUAUAACAAGCCAUCAACAUGCAACAAAGAGUCACUCCAAAGCCACUAAUAGCGGAGAACAAACGAAGAGAUUAUGGUAGGGUACGAAACCACCUCAAAGUUAUUCUCUCGGAUCAAUCUAUUUAAGAGUUCGUACUAGAAUAACACCUUAAGACACAAAUCAACCAAAACCCUAAUGUCACCUAGAUACUCCAUUGUCACCUCAAGUAUCGGUGGGCAUGAUUAUACGAUAUGCAUCACACAAUCUCAGAUUCAUCUAUUCAAACAACACAAAGUAUUUCAAAGAGUGCCCCAAAGUUUCUACCGGAGAGUCAAGAACGUGUGCCAACCCCUAUGCAUAGGUUCAUGGGCGGAACCCGCAAGUUGGUCACCAAAACAUACAUCAAGUGGCACAUGAUACCCCAUUGUCACCACAGAUAAGCACGGCAAGACAUACAUCAAGUGUUCUCAUAAAAGACUCAAUCCGAUAAGAUAACUUCAAAGGGGAAACUCAAUUCAUCACAAGAGAGUAGAGGGGGAGAAACAUCAUAAGAUCCAACUACAAUAGCAAAGCUCGGGAUACAUCAAGAUCGUGCCAUAGAGGGAACACGAGAGAGAACACGAGAGAGAGAGAUCAAACACAUAGCUACUGGUACAUACCCUCAGCCCCGAGGGUGAACUACUCCCUCCUCGUCAUGGAGAUCGCCGGGAUGAUGAAGAUGGCCACCGGUGAUGGAUUCCCCCUCCGGCAGGGUGCCGGAACGGGCUCCCGAGAGGUUUUUGGUGGCUACAGAGGCUUGCGGCAGCGGAACUCCUGAUCUAUCUUGAUUUCUAAUGGUUUUAGGGUACGUAGGUAUAUAUAGGCGAAAGAAGUCGGUCGGGGGGUGCUCGAGGGGUCCACGAGACAGGGGGCCGCUCCCUGUAGGGGGGAGCCCCCUAUCUCCUGGGCUCCUCGAGUAUCUUUUGACUUGAUCUCCAAGCCUCCAGGAUGAUAUUCUUCCAAAAAAUCACGAUGCCGAAGGUUUCAUUCCGUUUGGACUCCGUUUGAUAUUCCUUUUCUUCGAAAUACUGAAACAGGCAAUAAAACAGCAAUAUGGGCUGGGCCUCCGGUUAAUAGGUUAGUCCCAAAAAUGAUAUAAAUGUGUAAAAUAAAGCCCAUAAACAUCCAAAAGGGGUAAUAUAAUAGCAUGGAACAAUCAAAAAUUAUAGAUACAUUGGUGACGUAUCAAGCAUCCCCAAGCUUAAUUCCUGCUCAUCCUCGAGUAGGUAAAUGAUAAAAACAGAAUUUUUGAUGUGGAAUGCUACCUAGCAUAAUUCUCAAUGUAAUUUUCUUUAUUGUGGCAUGAAUGUUCAGAUCCAAAUGAUUCAAAAUAAAAGCUUAUAAAACAUAAAAAGAAUAAUGCUUCAAAGCAUACUAACAAAUAAUCAUGUCCUAUCAAAAUAGCAUAGCCAAAGAAAGCUUAUCCCUACAAAAUCAUAUAGUUAGGCCAUGCUUCAUUUUUAUUACACAAAAUACUCCCAUCAUGCACAACCCCGAUGACGAGCCGAGCAAUUGGUUCAUACUUUUUAACGCGCUUCAGCUUUUUCAACUCUUACACAAUACAUGAGCGCAAGCCAUGGACAUAGCACUAUGGUGGUAUAUGGUGGUGGUUGUGAGGACAAAAAGGGAGAAGAUAGUCUCACAUCAACUAGGCGUAUUAAUGGCCUAUGGAGAUGCCCAUCAAUAGAUAUCAAUGUGAGUGAGUAGGGAUUGCCAUGCAACGAAUGCACUAGAGCUAUAAAUAUAUGAAAGCUCAACAAAAGAAGUGGGUGUGCAUCCAACUCGCUUGCUCACGAAGACCUAGGGCAUUUUGAGGAAGCCCAUCAUUGGAAUAUACAAGCCAAGUUCUAUAAUGAAAAAUUCCCACUAGUAUAUGAAAGUGACAACAUAGGAGACUCUCUAUCAUGAAGAUCAUGGUGCUACUUUGAAGCACAAGUGUGGAAAAAGAGAUAGUACAUCGUCCCUUCUCUCUUUUUCUCUCAUUUUCUUUUUUUUUCUUUUUUUCUCCUUCCCUUUUUUUCUUUGGCCUUUCUUUUUUUUCUUUUUGGCCUUUCUCCUUUUUUCCUCUUUUUUUUUCUUUUUUGUAAAGUCCGAAGUCUCAUCCCGACUUGUGGGGAAAUCAUAGUCUUUAUCAUCCUUUCCUCACUGAGACAAUGCUCUAAUAAUGAAGAUCAUCACACUUUUAUGGAUUUACAACUCAAAGCUAGAACAAGAUAUGACUCUAUACGAAUGCCUCCGGCGGUGUACCGGGAUAUGCAAUGAAUCAAGAGCGACAUGUAUGAAAAUUAUGAAGGUGGCCUUGCCACAAAUACGAUGUCAACUACAUGAUCAUGCAAAGAGCAAUAUGACAAUGAUGGAACGUGUCAUAAUAAACGGAACGGUGGAAAGUUGCAUGGCAAUAUAUCUCGGAAUGGCUAUGGAAAUGCCAUAAUAGGUAGGUAUGGUGGCUGUUUUGAGGAAGGUAAAUAAUGGGUGCAAUACCGGCGAAAGUUGCACGGUAUAAUAGAGGCUAGCAAAGUGGAAGGAUGAGUGUGCGUAUAUCCAUAGACUCACAUUAGUCAUAAAAAACUCAUAUACUUAUUGCAAAAAUCUAUUUAGCCCUCGAAGCAAAGUACUACUACGCAUGCCCCAAGAGGGAUAGAUUGGUAGGAAAAGACCAUCGCUCGUCCCCGACUGCCACUCAUAAGGAAGACAAUCAAAAGAGCACCUCAUGCAACAAAUUUGUCACACAACUUUUACCAUACGUGCAUGCUACGGGACUUGCCAACUUCAACAAAAGUAUUCUCAAUUUCAUAAUUACCCACUAGCAUGACCCUAACAUUACUACCUUUAUAUCUCAAACAAUAAUCAAGCAUCAAAUUAAUCAUAGCAUCCAAUUCACUUCCUAUGAUAGUUUUUAUUAUACCCAACUUGGAUGCUCAUCAUUCUAGGACCAAAUUUGUAACCAUAGCAAAUACCAUGUUGUUCUAAAAGACUUUAAAAAAGAUAUAAGUGAAGCAUGAGAGACUAGCAAUUUCUUCAAAAUUAAUCCACCGCCGUGCUUUAAAAGAUAUAAAUAAAGCACUAGAGCAAAUGACAAACUACUCCGAAAGAUAUAAGUGAAGAUCAAUGAGUAGCUAAAUAAUGUAACUAUAUGAAGACUCUCUCUCAUUAAAGAAUUUCAGAUCUUGGUAUCUUAUUCAAACAGCAAGCAAAAAAAAUAAAAUGACAAUGCAAGGAUAGCACAACUCAUGUGAAGAAGCAAAAACUUAGGCUCAACCAACAUUAACCGAUAGUUGUUGAAGAAGAAAGGUGGGAUGCCUACCGGGCAUCCCCAAGCUUAGAUGCUUGAGACUUCUUAGAAUAUUAUCUUGGGGUGCCUUGGGCAUCCCCAAGCUUGAAAUUUUGUGUCUACUUAAUUCCUCUCAUAUCAUGGUUUCUCUUUUUAUCAAAAGCUUCAUCCACACCAAACUCAACAAGAACUCGUGAGAUAGGUUAGUAUAAGCCAAUGCAAAACCUUAUCAUUUUCUACUGUAACAAAUCACUAAAAUUAUUAUUCAACAUUGCAUACUAAAUGUCUCUGCAUAUUUAAUACUCCUAUCCUCAAAUAGAAUCGUUAAACAAGCAAAUAUAUGCAAACAAUGCAAACAUAACAGCAAACUACCAAAACAGUACAGUCUGUAAAGAAUGCAAGAGUAUCAAUACUUCCCUAACUCCAAAAAUUAUGAAAUAAAAUUCCCACUGUAGUAAAUUUAUCAGAGCUCAUUAUGCAAAAAAAUUCAACAUUAUAUCAUUCUCUGACUUUUCUAGGGAAGUUUUGCAACAGCGGUAAACUUUCUGUUUUCAAAUAGCAACAUGUAUACUAGCAAAAUAAGCAUGGCAAAGGCUAUCCUUGACUUCUUUAUUGAAACUAAAGAUGCAAAAUAUUAUUCUAACUAAUAGCAAGCAAAUACUAACAAAAGAAAAUGACGCUCCAAGCAAAACACAUAUCAUGUGGUGAAUAAAAAUAUAGCUCCAAGUAAAGUUACCGAUAGACGAAGACGAAAGAGGGGAUGCCAUCCGGGGCAUCCCCAAGCUUAGACUCUUGGUUGUCCUUGGAUAUUACCUUGGGGUGCCUUUGGCAUCCCCAAGCUUAGGCUCUUACCAUCCUUAUUCCAUAGUCCAUCGAAUCUUUACCCAAAACUUGAAAACUCCACAACACAAAACUCAACAGAAAACUCGUAAGCUCCGUUAGUAUAAGAAAAUAAAACCACCACUUAGGUACUGUAAUGAACUCAUUCUAAAUUCAUAUUGGUGUAAUAUCUACUGUAAUCCAACUUAUCUAUGGUUCAUACCCUCCGAUACUACUCAUAGAUUCAUCAAAAUAAGCAAACAACACAUAGAAAAUAGAAUAUGUCAAAAACAGAACAGUCUGUAGUAAUCUGUAUCAAACGUAUACCUCUCAAACUCCAAAAAUCCUACAAAAUUAGGAAGUCCUAAGCAAUUCGUGUACCAAUCUAGAGUAAAAAGGAUCAGAUCAAGAGCACGUUCCUCUCAAUGAAAAAAACUAAUUUACUGCGUGCAAAUGUUUCUGAUUCUCAGCAGGAUCAACACAACUAUCACCAUAAGCUAUCCUAAAGGUCUUACUUGGCACUUUAUUGAAACAAAAGCUAUAAAACAUGAUUACUACAGUAGAAUAAUCAUGUGGACACACAAAAACAGUAAGGGUAAAUAUUGGGUUAUCUCCCAACAAGCGCUUUUCUUUAAUGCCUUUCUAGCUAGGCAUGAUGAUGACAAUGAUGCUCACAUAAAAGAUAAGAAUUGAAACAUAAUGGGAGCAUCAUGAAGCAUAUGACUAGCACAUUUAAGCCUAACCCACUUCCUAUGCAUAGGGAUUUUGUGAGCAAACAACUUAUGGGAACAAUAAUCAACUAGCAUAGGAAGGUAAAACAAGCAUAGCUUCAAGAUUUUCAACACAUAGAGAGGAAACUUGACAUUAUUGCAAUUCCUACAAGCAUAUAUUCCUCCCUCAUAAUAAUUUUCAGUAGCAUCAUGAAUGAAUUCAACAAUAUAACCAGCACCUAAAGCAUUCUUUUCAUGAUCUACAAGCAUAGAAAAUUUACUACUCUCCACAUAAGUAAAAUUCUUCUCAUGAAUAGUAGUGGGAGCAAACUCAGCAAAAUAAUUAUCAUGUGAGGCAUAAUCCAAUUGAAAACUAAAAUCAUGAUGACAAGUCUCAUGGUUAUCAUUAUUCUUAAUAGCAUACAAGUCAUCACAAUAAUAAUCAUAGAUAGCAACUUUGUUCUCACCAUAAUCGAUUGAAACCUCUCCCAAGAUAGUGGAAUCACUAAAUAAAGUUGACACUCUUCCAAAUCCACUUUCAUGUUCAUCAUAAUAAGAUUCAAUAUCCUCCAAAAUAGUGGGAUCACUACUUCCUAAAGUUGACACUCUUCCACACCCACUUUCAUCAAUAUAAUCAUCAUAAAUAGGAGGCAUGCUAUCAUCAAAAUAAAUUUGCUCAUCAAAACUUGGGGGACUAAAAAUAUCAUCUUCAUGAAACAUAGCUUCCCCAAGCUUGUGGCUUUGCAUAUCAUUAGCAUCAUGGAUAUUCAAGGAAUUCAUACUAACAACAUUGCAAUCAUGCUCAUCAUUCACAUAUUUAGUAUCAAACAUACUAUAGAUUUCUUCUUCUAGCACUUGAGCACAAUUUUCCUUUCCAUCAUACUCACGAAAGAUAUUAAAAAGACGAAGCGUAUGAGACAAACUUAACUCCAUUUUUUUGUAAUUUUCUUUUAUAAACUAAACUAGUGAUAAAACAAGAAACAAAAAGAUUCGAUUGCAAGAUCUAAAGAUAUACCUUCAAGCACUCACCUCCCCGGCAACGGCGCCAGAAAAGAGCUUAGUUGACGGGGUGUGAGUGAGUGCCCUUUACCUAGCCUCCCCGGCAACGGCGCCAGAAAAGAGCUUGAUGUCUACUACACAAUCUUCUUCUUGUAGACGUUGUUGGGCCUGCAAGUGCACAGGUUUGUAGGACAGUAGCAAAUUUCCCUCAAGUGGAUGACCUAAGGUUUAUCAAUCCAUGGGAGGCGUAGGAUGAAGAUGGUCUCUCUCAAACAACCCUGCAACCAAAUAACAAAGAGUCUCUGGUGUCCCCAACACACCCAACACAAUGGUAAAUUGUAUAGGUGCACUAAUUCGACGAAGAGAUGGUGAUACAAGUGCAAUAUGGAUGGUAGAUAUAGGUUUUUGUAAUCUGAAAUAAUAAAAACAGCAAGGUAACUAAUGAUAAAAGUGAGCGUAAACGGUAUUACAAUGAUAGGAAAUAAGGCCUAGGGUUCAUACUUUCACUAGUGCAAGUUCUCUCAACAAUAAUAACAUAGAUAGAUCAUACAACAAGCCCUUAACAUGCAACAAAGAGUCACUCCAAAGCCACUAAUAGCGGAGAACAAACGAAGAGAUUAUGGUAGGGUACGAAACCACCUCAAAGUUAUUCUCUCGGAUCAAUCUAUUUAAGAGUUCGUACUAGAAUAACACCUUAAGACACAAAUCAACCAAAACCCUAAUGUCACCUAGAUACUCCAUUGUCACCUCAAGUAUCGGUGGGCAUGACUAUACGAUAUGCAUCACACAAUCUCAGAUUCAUCUAUUCAAAUAACACAAAGUACUUCAAAGAGUGCCCCAAAGUUUCUACCGGAGAGUCAAGAACGUGUGCCAGCCCCUAUGCAUAGGUUCAUAGGCGGAACCCGCAAGUUGGUCACCAAAACAUACAUCAAGUGGCACAUGAUAUCCCAUUGUCAUCACAGAUAAGCACGGCAAGACAUACAUCAAGUGUUCUCAUAAAAGACUCAAUGCGAUAAGAUAACUUCAAAGGGGAAACUCAAUUCAUUACAAGAGAGUAGAGGGGGAGAAACAUCAUAAGAUCCAACUACAAUAGCAAAGCUCGGGAUACAUCAAGAUCGUGCCAUAGAGGGAACACGAGAGAGAGAGAUCAAACACAUAGCUACUGGUACAUACCCUCAGCCCCGAGGGUGAACUACUCCCUCCUCGUCAUGGAGAGCGCCGGGAUGAUGAAGAUGGCCACCGGUGAUGGAUUCCCCCUCCGGCAGGGUGCCGGAACGGGCUCCCGAGAGGUUUUUGGUGGCUAUAGAGGCUUGCGGCAGUGGAACUCCCGAUCUAUCUUGAUUUCUGAUGGUUUUAGGAUACGUAGGUAUAUAUAGGCGAAAGAAGUCGGUCGGGGGGUGCUCGAGGGGUCCACGAGACAGGGGGCCGCUCCCUGUAGGGGGGGCGCCCCCUAUCUCCUGGGCUCCUCGAGUAUUUUGUGACUUGAUCUCCAAGCCUCCAGGAUGAUAUUCUUCCAAAAAAUCACGAUGCCGAAGGUUUCAUUCCGUUUGGACUCCGUUUGAUAUUCCUUUUCUUCGAAAUACUGAAACAGGCAAUAAAACAUCAAUAUGGGCUGGGCCUCCGGUUAAUAGGUUAGUCCCAAAAAUGAUAUAAAUGUGUAAAAUAAAGAUCAUAAACAUCCAAAAGGGGUAAUAUAAUAGCAUGGAACAAUCAAAAAUUAUAGAUACGUUGGAGACGUAUCAGAUGUUUACUGGACGGGAUGGGAAGGAUAUUUACCACACCCAUUCAAUGCCCGUUCCUCCGUCUGCCCCAUUAAACAGGCUCGCUGGCCUAGAAACCAACUCUCGCGCUUGCGCACUGAUGCACCCAGACGCUUGGCCUCACCUGCAUCCACUAUUUUAGGGCGGCCAGAGUCAGGUCACAUCACACCACAACCCAUCUGCUGCAUAUCUUCCUCCCAUGCACCACAUCUGCCAUGCCCGCGAGCGAGAACGCUCUGUGAGAGUGAUUGCCCACGGAGAAAAAGCAUGAGGUGACGGCCCUUUGCGGCCACCAUGCCGGGCGGACAGAGGCCGACAUGUCGGCCAGCUCUUCGAAGGUCUUCGACGACGACCCCACGAUGAAGACUAGCUUUGACGACGACUCCAUGCCGGAGCCCACGCAGGUGCAUGCCACCUUGGCGAUGGAGCUGGCACAAGCGCACUUCAACGCCGCCAUGGCGGAGGAGUAGUCGGCGCCCGCACCUAUGUCGGCAUUUCGGCAGGUGCAAGAGGAACAAUGCUACAAUUUGUUCCUCCUCGAGCAGUAGCAGCUGGCGGAGGGCCAUAUCAACGGCGAGUGUGCGAGCGAGGAGGCCAUGGUGGCCAUGUUCGCGGUGAAUCUUAACUUCGUCGCCGAGCAGCACACGCUCUAUGAGGCCGCCCGUGCUCAAGGCUCGUAACGUACAGGCGGCGCAGUCGGAUGCGGAGGCGGUGCUGGCUGCGCAGGCUAUCGCGGACGAGAACCCCGUCAGCUGCGCGUCUUACGUGCCCCCAAAUGUUGUUUGGCCGCGAUGGUGGGGCAACGAGCGUGUCGGCUCCUCCAUUUCCAUCUUGGACCUCACAUCCGUCGGCGACAGACAGGCAGUGGAUUUCGACGAGGAUGCGUAAGGCAUGUGAGGCGGCAGGGCUCGAGCCCCAAACGGGCGAGUCCAUCUCCCAUGUCGCUCAUUCACUUCCUCGCCAGCGACCGCACAUUGACUUUACGAGUCUUAUCCCUGUCGCUCAUGGAGACAAUAUAUGGAGGAAGCAGUCAUGGAAGGGAACAACAAAGACUUGGACGACGGGCGUUGCCGUAGGCUAGGUUUAUGUCAGGUCUUUUUUUUAAUGAAAACCGGUCAAAAUGUAAUUAAUGUGCUUCGAUUUAUAUGAAAAUCAUCCAGUUUGCAUGUAAUCCUUCUGGUUUGUUUAAACCCGCCUUAAAAUAUCUGGAGAUAGCUUUAGAUGCUUAAUCCCGUUCACAUCCCGAGCCAAUAAUAGAGCGAAUAAUUAAAAGAGUACUCCACCACGAGCAGCUCAGCCAAUUCUCACAAGCUUAGGAAAAAGAAAAGCAGAACCACUCGCAGAUGGAUUUUUUCUAUCUUUACAGCUCACUCUAUCAGUCUACUAAUACCACACAUAUUCUCAUCAUGCAAGAAUAGAUUUCAGAUAUACUCCCUCCGUUCCGAAUUACUUGUCUUGGAUUUGUCUGGAUACAGAUGUAUCUAGACUCAUUUUAGUGCUAGAUACUUCUGUAUCUAGACAAAUCCAAGACAAGUAAUUUAGAACGAAGGGAGUAAAAUAUAGGAUCUGUCUAGGACACAUCUAAAUGUAACGUAGUUAUGUCACAUCGAAGCUGAUUUUCACUCUGUUUGUGGUCUAUUUUUUUCUAGUUUUUUUCUUUUCUUGUUGCUGCAUUAUAUAUUUGUUGGAGUUUAGAUGUGACAUUCUUAAAAAGCAUCUAGAUGUGAAUUAGACAAACUGAAAAAUAUAAUAGUACUAGCAUAUAUUCUAGCCGGUUUGCGGGUCGGAGAUAUAUACCCUUACAAAAGCCAAUAGUGGUAGUGGAGCACCUAAAUUUCUCCAGCAGUACAUCACUACCCUCUCGCUCCCCAGCAAAAUUUCGAACUGCGUUGCGCUACGCUUGUCGACCAGCGAUGCGGCCUGCGGUGAGUCCCGGCGGCGGAAGGAGGAUGUCCCCGGGCGAAGAGGCUCUGCGGUCGUUGAAGAGGCCGCGCCACCCCGUGGAUCCCGGCUCCGGCUCCGACCCCGGCUCCAGCUCCGGCUCGGAAUCCGACGGCGAUUUCGUCAGGUGCCGCGCAUCUGAUUUCGAGCUUUUCCUCUUCGAUUCGGCGGCUCGCAUUUCUAAUUCCUUGUCGUUUAACUUUGUGACGAUGGGUACAUUUGUGGCGGGAGCAGCGACUUGAGGCAGAUCGCGUGCCUGCUGCGGUUGAUCAAGGGCGGGCCCAACAAGGAUCGCCAGAAGAUGUGCGAGCAGAUCAUCGCCAGGUGCGCAGAACAAUGUUCUUUCGGUUGCACCUCCGAGUUUUCUCUUAUCGCGGUAUGUGCUAGCGUGCAAAAAAAUUGGGAUAUGCGUAUAUGCUACCCUAGCGGCUUCUUCUGAUGCAUUUCGUGCUCGCCGAUUUGUUCGGAGAGACUUCCAGUUCAUGGUCACCGGGAGGGAUGUGCAACAAAUAAACGUUGCACGUUUGCAAUCCUGCAAUGUGUUCAGUCGGCUGAUUAUAUGUGAUUAAUGCAGGAACUAGGUUCGUUUGAUGGUACCUGUCAGUUUUUGCAUAUUAUGCGGAGCGAUAUGCACUGUGAGUGAUGUGAGGAAAAUGGGCAUAUUAAUUUGAUGGGUUCCUCGAUUCAUGUUUUUUAUGUAAUGGUGUGGCUUUGUUCGGGUGAGUUGAUUUUCAGAACCACGGCUGGCCUGAACAUUUCUAUAAACUUUUCAGAACUAUUACAAAGACCCUAGUUAUUGCACAUCUAAGUGACUUAAUCAAGCAUAAAAAGAAAAAAAAUACCCACACGAAUCUCCGCGUAAAAUUAAUGACAUAGGACUUAGAUGUGCAACAAUACUUAUGGCACAUCUAGAUAUGCUUUAGGAAAAUUGUACAAAGAAUUAUUUACACAGGCAUCGGGGAGAAAAAGCAGAAAAAAAUUAUAACAUGUGGUCUAAAGGGACUGCAUUGACUGUACUGUGAAGUUUGAAGCGCAUAAUGUUGCUGAUCAUUAUUCUUUUACCUUUUCCUUACACCGUUUAUUCCUUUACUUUUCUCAACCUGACAGUGUUGCAGCCAAUAUUCAGACUAUGCUUGAAGAUACCAAGUCCAAGUUUGAGAAGGAAAGGUAACUCACUUGCUUGUGAACUGUGAAACAAUACCUGCAUGUACAAUUACGCCUGAAACUAUUUCUGUCCGAAAAGAAAACUUGUUCGUUUUUAUUUAGAACGCAGUGUAACUGUUAUAUUUGCAUGCGCAGGCAGAACUUGCUGAAAGUAUUGUCAGGCACUUCGAAAGAGGUAUCCAGUUUAGAAUUCUUUCGGAUUGUCGACUAACUUACUGAUUUGCCUAAGAUUGAAAUAUGGCAUGUGAUUUGCACUAUUAGCAGUGUGAAAGUUCAUUGAACGAAGAGUACACCAAGCUUCAGGAAACAUAUGAAAUGUUCUGUGAAGAAAAUGAUGCACACUUACAAACCUUCAAAGGUAUGGCAAAUAAGAGCUGGUUGUCAUUUUCACAAGUAUAUCAUGUGCUUCUAUCCAGAUUUAUCUAGGAUUUUAGGGCGUUGUGCCAUGUGAUGUCAUUUGGUCUAAUCAGCCAGUACGUAUGAACUGUGAUUCUUACUACUUACUAGUACUUACAAGCCUUUUGUCCCAAACAAGCUGGGAUAGGCUAGAUAUGAAACCCUUUCACGAGGACUUCCCAGGAGGUCACCCAUCCUAGUACUACUCUCGCCCAUUACGUUGCUCGCCAAGCCUAUCACAACCCUUAGAUAUGAAACCCUUUCACGAGGACUUCCUAGGAGGUCACCCAUCCUAGUACUACUCUCGCUCAAAUGGGUUUCAUACCUAUGGGACUGGCUAGUUUUUAUGUUGGCUUGCCAAGCCUAUUACAACCCUCCUCCUUUACCCGGCUUGGGACCGGCUAUGCCUAGAAGACAUAGGCGGAGUUAUGAGCUGUGAUUCUUAUCUUUGGAAAAAUAUAUUGAGGAAUGAAUUAUACCUGGUUUUGAUGCAAACAGAAUCUACGUGACACUUGUAUUCAUGUGUUGUUUUUAAAUACGCAUUGCUUGGCUGCUGCUUGUCAGCGACUCAGGCAUUAUUUGGAUGAUGUUCCCAUAGAAGACGUUCAGAUCUUACUGAUUCUGCAAAAAUAUUUGGCUCUUAUUUGACUUGUUAAAUGUCCUGUUACGCAGACCUAUUCUCACAAGUUGAAGUUGAGAAAAAGAAACUGCUUGAGCAGUAUCAAUAUCAGAGUAAGUGACUAGAGGAUUCAUUUCCCUCGGACGGAAAUAUGCUGUUCUUACACUCAAAUCCUUGAAACAGGGAAGGAGACGGCUACAUUGUCUGAACUUGGUGAAACCUUCUCAGAGAAGAUAACAAAUGCCAAACCAUCACCGAAAAGGAUGAAGCAGGUGUGGCAAAAUUCACAACUGCUUGCAUUUCUUAGACUCCAUUUUUAGCUACCCCGUCAGGCCUAAAGCUGAAUGACCAGCCAAUUUUUUUGUUCCAUGGUUUGAAACACCUCUUCCUGCAAAAUACUGCAUUCUUUUUCGCAGGAUGACAAGUCUUUUAUCAUCUUCCGCAAGUCGAUUGGUUCAUAUCUCGAGUGCGCAUCGGACGACGAUUUUGACCUUGAUGAUGAAUGACGCUGCUUCUCUUGUCCAACAUACUGAUCCUUUGAAGCGACACAUACAAAACGAUCUUGCUAUUUUUCUUUUUUUUUUUCACGUUUCCUCCUUUAACCGACAUCUUAUAGAACAUCUUAAGGCCAUGUUCGCUUAAUCCCCUUGCCACAGGGAUUGAAGGGGAUUGGGGAGGUUUGAGAAGGAUUUUGACUUGCAAGGGAUUUAAUCCCCUCCAAUCCCUUUCAAACCUCUUCAAACCCUUCCAAACCGAACAAGGCCUAAGGGUAUAUAUAUACUCCCUCUGUUCACUUUUAUAAGGCUUUGUAGACGUUUCAGACAGUGUGCAAAACAGCACAAUUUCACUUGUCUGAAACGACUUAUAAAAGUGAACGGAGGGAGUAGGUCAUAGGAGAGAAGGCUUCACAGUUUGUAUUAGGUACAUUGCCUCGGACCCUUUUUUCUGACAUAGGUACAUUUCCUCAGACUCUUGAAAAGGAAGUGUUAUCAUAAAUCUGUCUGCAAUGUUGGAUUGGCUUGAGAGGUUGGUGUAAGGCCCCAGAUUUAAAACUAGCUUCGACCCAACCUUGUGUUGGAUCGGCCAUUUACAUGUAGCAAUUCUUAUGUUUUCGUCCUCGCUUCUCGCAAAACGCUAACCACAGUUUUCAAUGGAACACUUGGGUUUAUAUGGUUGUAUGCAAUCGCUUGAAUGCUAACGAGAGUUUUCAACGGAACACUUGGGGUUAUAUGGUUGUAUGCAAUCACUUGAACUAGCAAGUUGGGACUGUCCCUGCUAUGCUGAAACACCCACGAGAAAGACGAGAAUUUUCCAAGAUAUUUGAGUUAGUGAAAAUUUUCUAUGAAAUGUAGCACAAAGAAAUACUUCUGAAAAAAGGACUCGUGGCAUUAAAUCCUACAAAUUCAAGCAUGCCAUCCAUAGGAUUGAGCAAACCAUGGUCCUAUAAUAUCAAAAAAUUUGUAAGGAUCAAACUAGUCUAAAAUUAGUGAUAAAAGUUGGGUUCCCGCCAGGCCUGCAAACCGUGGUGAGCUAAUACAAAAUGAACUUUUUUCUUUUGUGGGAAUGAACUUGAACCACUAAACUCCUCAGAUGUCCUGGACAUCGACACUCAAAAACUGGAAGUGGGCCGCUUGCACCCCUAUCUAAAAUACCUUUGAAAAAUCUCUUAAGAAGCCCUUAAAAUGGACCUUUGUCGCUGUAACACGAUCGAAAGAACCAAAAGGAGCAUAAGGAUUAUAAUACUCCAAUGACGUUGAGCUUGAACAUGAACGUAAAACUUUACGAUGCCGGUAAAUUGACUACUUCCUGGGGUCAAGUUCCCAAGAAACAAUACAAGCUAGAAGCCUUGCCCCCACCCACACAGACACGUUCAAGUAUGCGAUAUCAACGCCAUCCUUUUCGCAAAAUAAAACGGUCACAGUUCAACCAUCCAACUCUCAGAUUCUGAGGUUAAAUCACACUUCAACCAGAUGGUGCACGAGAUUAGUACCAACGCUGUGCACACAGAGUACCGUUAAUAUUCAGCUAUUUUCAGAACACAUCGUUCCAAUUGACGCUAUAAAUUUUAGAAAUGUAGUUUGUCAUGCCAGACAGAAUGACGCUGUCCAUGGUCUCCAACAUCUUGCGAUUGCAGUUCAGAUUCUCCUGCUGCUGCGCUGCUAGCGAUUUCUCCUCGUCUAGUUCAUGCUACAAGGUCCAAAAAACAACAAGCGUCAGAGAAUGCUUGCAUAACUCCACUAAUUACCAAGUAAUCUGUGGAUAAAGCACAGAACAGGACCACGCAUGUGAAAGAUGAUUGCCAUUGAAUUUCAGAACUGAGGGUCUAAAACAUGGAUUUUACCUCAAUUAGUGCAAAGUUCUCCACCUCAUGUCUCCUGGAGAGUAUCUUCGAUUUUUUUAGAAUCUCAUAAUCAGGAUCUCUGUGGCCCACCCAGCGAAAUUUUAAUUUACUCCCAGGUCUCCGGGGGCGAUCAUUGAACAUCUCAGGCGUAGCAUGCUUCGCCCUAACAGGCCUUGGAAUUCCAGAGAUCAUAAAAGGGAAGUCUUGCAGCAUACUGACCACAACUUCAGCAUCCUUCUCAGUUUCCAUCUGUACUAAUGCAGAUUGAGGAAUAUUGUAGGGAAUGGUGUAGUUCACAACAAAACUGACCUUUCUGAUACUACAAAAUUGACCCAAAGCUGUUUUUAUGACUGCCUCUGUAGCCUGGUGAGAUAGAUUGUCAAGGUAAACAGUUCGUUUGACCUUCUCCUCGAACUCCUGAUACUGUUUUAUGGUUUCCAACUCUUCAGCACUCUUACUUUGAUUAGCAGCCUGGCCAUCAGAAGUGGAAAGCUUCAUUCCAGAUGUAUUCUGGCUGGUGCCGGUAGCCUGCACUGCAGAGGUGCGCGGCUUCUUGCGUGGGGUGAUUUUCUUAGCUGGAUCGGUUGGUCUUUUGCUUGGGGCCUUGUUUCUAACCACAUCAGACAGCUUCUUGGUGGGAAUGGUGUGGUUAGCAUGUUCAAACACAUCACACUUUAUAGCAGUGGUUGACAGGGUCCUGCUUGGGUUGCUCUUAGCCUCUGUAGCCUUGUGAGAGGGGUUGUCAAGAUAUACAAUUUCCUUGAUCUUCUCCUCCAACUCUUGAUGCUCCUCUAUGACCUCCAUGUUUGCAGCACUGGUACUUUGCUCCACAGCCUGGUCAACAGAAGCAGAAAGCUUCAUUCCAGGGGUCUUCCCGCUGGUACCAGUAGCUCUAGCUUGUACUGAAGCGGUACACAAACUCUUGUGUGGGGCAUUUUUGUUAGCUCGAUAAGUUGGUCUAUUGCUUGGGCCAUUGUUUUUAGCCUCACCAGACAGCAUCUUGCUCGGAAUGGGAUGAUUAUCUUCUUCAAACACCUCCUGAGACUUCACAGCGGUGAUUGUUUGAUUCCAUCUUGGGUUGUUACCCUCUUCAUCUGCUACUUUACUGUCAGUAUUGUAGAGCAGUUUCUUUCGUGGGGAGUUGCUAUGUUCCUCCUCACCCUGCUUUCUAGUCGUUGUAAGGCUCUUGCUUGGGCUGUUGUUGAUAUGAUCUCUAGGCAAUUCCUGAAGUUGAAGACGAAGCAUCAUGCUCGAGAUGUUGUUCACCUCUUCACACAAUCCAUGUUUAGCAGCGUAACUGCUUGGAUCACUUCCUUGCUCUUCAGCAGCGACUCUCAGGUUCAUGCUCAGGGUGUUAUCAUUUGCCUCAUCCAGUAGUUUGUUGCCUGAGGUAUCGCUCUCAGACUCAGCGGACCAUGUCUUGCUAAGGGUGUUGCUAUUGGCCCCAUUACAGUGUCCCACUCUUGGGGAGUGGCUGCUUGCCUCACCAUGUGCUGGAGUGGUUAUCAAAUUCUUGCCUGGCUUGUCAGUAAUCAGUUUGUUGUCCUCAGGAUACUGUUUGACGGAAUCCAAAUCUGCAGCACUCUUACUUUGAUUAACAGCCUGGCCAUCAGAAAUGGGAAGCUUCAUUCCAAAUGUAUUCUGGCUGGUAUCAGUAGCAUGUAAUGCAGAGGUGUGUGGCUUCUUGCGUGGGGUUCUUUUCUUAGCUGGGUCAGUUGAUCUAUCGAUCAGGGCCUGGUUUCUAGCCACAUCAGAAAGCUUCUUGCUAGGAAUGGUGUGGUUAGCAUUUUCAAACAUCUCCCGCUCUAUAGCAGUGGUUGACAGGGUCCUGCUUGGGUUGCUCUUAACCUCUGUAGCUUGGUGAGACAGGUUGUCAAGAUUGACAAGAAAUACAGUUCGCUUGAUCUUCUCCUCAAACUCUUGAUACUCCGUUGUGACCUCUGUGUUUGCAGCAUUGGUACUUUGCUCCACAGCCUGGCAAACAGAAGCAGAAAGCUUCAUUUCAGGGGUGUUCCGGCUGCGGCUAGUACCAGUAGCCUGUACUGAAGAGGUAGGCAGCCUCUUGACUGGGGAAAUUUGUUUGGCUGGAUCAGUUGGUGGAUUGCUUGGGGCAUUGUUUUCUUUGGUGGGAAUGGGGUGGUGAGCUUCUUCAACCACAUCCUCAUACUUCGCAGCGGUGGUUGUCAGGUUCCAGCUUCCGUUGUUACCCUCUUCAUCUUCUUCUUUGUUGUUAGUAUCAUAGCACAGUUUCCUUCUUGGGGAGUUGUUAUGUUCCUCAUCACCCUGCAUUCCAGGGGCUAUAUCAUUCUUGCUUGGGCUGUUGUCUAUAUGACCUUCAGGUACUUCCUGAACUGGUAGAGGAAGUAUCAUGCUCAAGAUAUUGUUGUUGGCCUCUUCACACGGUCCCUGUUUAGCAGCAUAACAGUUUGCAUCGCUUGCUUGCUCUUCAUCAUCGACUCUUAGGUUCUUGCUCAGGGCGCUGUAAGUUGCCUCAUCCAGGUGUUUGUGGCCUGAGGUAUCGCUCUCAGAUUCAGCAAACAGUGUCUUGCUCAGGGUGUUGCUACUGCCCUCAUUACACAGUCCCAUUCUUGGGGAGUGGCUGCUUGCCUCACCCUGUACUGGAGCAGUAAUCAGAUUCUUGCCUGGUAGAGGAAGUAUCAUGCUCAAGAUAUUGUUGUUGGCCUCUUCAUACGGUCCCUGUUUAGCCGCAUAACAGUUUGCAUCACUUCCUUGCUCUUCAUCAUCGACUCUUAGGUUCUUGCUCAGGGCGCUGUAAGUUGCCUCAUCUGGUUGUUUGUGGCCUGAGGUAUCACUCUCAGGUUUAGCAGACAUUGUCUUGCUCAGGGUGUUGCUACUGCCCUCAUUACACAGUCCCAUUCUUGGGGAAUGGCUGCUUGCCUCACCCAGUACUGGAGCAGUUGUCAGAUUCUUGCCUGGGCUGUCGAUACUCAUUUCAGGUACUUCCUUACUUCCGGUUUUGUUAAUCCGAGGUACUUUCUUGCUCAGGGUGAGGGAGGCGUCAGGCAACUUCUUCCUCGGUGGUAAACGUAUACGUAUGAUGUUCCAUGGACGGUCUCCCUUCCUGUCAUCAGUUUCGUUGCUGAUUUCAGCAGCCUGGUUUUCUGAGGCAGACAUUCCUUGACACACAAAAAACUCCUGCAGAUUGUGAAUCAAAUGGCGUGAUGAGAAUGAACAAGAAAAGUGCUCAAACAUUAUAUGCUGACCAUUCGAAAUAGAAAUCCAUUCGAGAGAAAAAAAACAUCACAUGCUGAAUUAAUAAGGUCCCAGUUGGUUCAUCAAUUUUAGCACAAUGUCAGACUUAAUUUCACGCUACAAUGUAACUUGCCUAACAUAGUACUAACAUAGAUGUAGCCCUGGCUUGCUUCCAACAGUGUCCCUAAAGCAAUUUGGUGACCUGACACAUGUUACGCAGACACAGAAAUGCGGAUUCACCAUUUCACAUAAAACGGUGACGCAAGCUGCGGCUAUAUAUAUACACAAUAAAUACAAAAUAAUGCAUAUAAAAUAAUAUAUUUUCAAGUAUAUGUUUAUGCUAAACGAAGAUACUAUAAGCCAGAAACAUAGAAAUUGAUCCUCAAACAAUCUAGAAGGAGGAGAGGAGAAGGAACUGAACAGGGUAUGGUGGGCAAACCCCGGGCCAGAAACUAAGUGCUUAUAACUUGUAAAUAAAUAUCCAAAAAAUAUCUCUUGUGAAAGCAUAGAAACAUAUGGCCCGGCUGCACAAUAAAUAUAGAAGUUAAACUUAAUGUUUAACGAUCCAAUAAGUUAGAUAAAAGAUGAGGAAAACUACAAAAGCUAAUACAGGGGUAUAAAAGAGUACAAAAUCGAUGGUUCGGUUCAUCUGCUCGUCCCACAACAUCAAGUGAGAUAGUUAAUCACUGAAACAACACCUUCAAGACAUCAAAACAUGGGAAAAUUUCUUCAUCUUCUGUUCUAAACAUGAAACUGGUGAUAAAAUGCGUCAGUUUGAGGAUUCAAUUCAGCGCAUAUACAAAAAAAAAA
Molecule: long non-coding RNA, 41673 nt
Filed under: Triticum aestivum (bread wheat)
Lineage: Eukaryota; Viridiplantae; Streptophyta; Magnoliopsida; Poales; Poaceae
Description: long non-coding RNA (TAES_LNC022638)
Rfam family: MIR1120/MIR1122 microRNA precursor family (bases 32614-32748)
Source: RNAcentral